Molecule: ribosomal RNA, 2898 nt
Filed under: Clostridioides difficile
Lineage: Bacteria; Bacillati; Bacillota; Clostridia; Peptostreptococcales; Peptostreptococcaceae
Description: bacterial LSU rRNA
Rfam family: Bacterial large subunit ribosomal RNA
Source: RNAcentral
UCAAGUUAUUAAGGGUGCAGGGCGGAUGCCUUGGCACUAGGAGCCGAUAUGAAGGACGUGAUAAGCUGCGAUAAGCUUCGGGGAGUUGCACGUAAACUUUGAUCCGAAGAUUUCCGAAUGAGGAAACUCACUUAGAGUAAUGUCUAAGUAUCAUUAAGUGAAUACAUAGCUUAAUGAGGGGAACUCAGGGAACUGAAACAUCUAAGUACCUGAAGGAAGAGAAAGAAAUUCGAUUCCGUAAGUAGCGGCGAGCGAACGCGGAUUAGCCCAAACCAAUAAAGUUUUCUUUAUUGGGGUUGCGGACAUAUCAUAACGAAGAGGUAUCGUAAUUGAAGAGGUUUGGAAAGACCCACCACAGAAGGUAAUAGUCCUGUAUGUUAAACGAGAAGACUUUAGAUAUGAUCCAGAGUACCACGGGACACGUGAAACCCUGUGGGAAGCAGGAGGGACCACCCUCCAAGGCUAAAUACUACCUAGUGACCGAUAGCGUAUAGUACCGUGAGGGAAAGGUGAAAAGAACCCCGGGAGGGGAGUGAAAUAGAACCUGAAACCCUGCACUUACAAGCUGUGGAAGCACAUUUCUUGUGUGACCGCGUACUUUUUGUAGAACGGGCCAACGAGUUACGUUAAGUAGCAAGGUUAAGCACUUAAGGUGCGGAGCCGUAGCGAAAGCGAGUUUUAACUGAGCGUUCAGUUACUUGACGUAGACCCGAAACCGGGCGACCUACCCAUGAGCAGGAUGAAGCGAAAGUAAAAUUUCGUGGAGGUCCGAACCCACGAGCGUUGAAAAGCUCGGGGAUGACUUGUGGGUAGCGGUGAAAUUCCAAUCGAGCCCGGAGAUAGCUGGUUCUCCCCGAAAUAGCUUUAGGGCUAGCCUCAAGGUGAGAGAUACGGAGGUAGAGCACUGAAUGUCCUAGGGGGUAUUGCACCUACCGAAGACUAUCAAACUCCGAAUGCCGUCAUCUUAUACUUGGGAGUCAGACUGUGGGUGAUAAGAUUCAUAGUCGAAAGGGCAACAGCCCAGAUCGUCAGCUAAGGUCCCUAAAUGUAAGUUAAGUGGUAAAGGAUGUGGGAUUGCACAGACAACCAGGAUGUUGGCUUAGAAGCAGCCACUCAUUCAAAGAGUGCGUAAUAGCUCACUGGUCGAGUGAUCCUGCGCCGAAGAUUUCCGGGGCUAAAACUUACUACCGAAGCUACGGCAUCAGUAAUGAUGGGUAGGGGAGCUUCCCAUACGGGUUGAAGCAUGACCGUAAGGACAUGUGGACAGUAUGGGAGUGAGAAUGUUGGCAUGAGUAGCGAGAUGUGGGUGAGAAUCCCACAGGCCGUAAACCCAAGGUUUCCAGGGGAAGGUUCGUCCGCCCUGGGUUAGUCGGGACCUAAGCUGAGGCCGAAAGGCGUAGGUGAUGGACAACAGGUUGAUAUUCCUGUACUACCGAUAACCGUUUGAGAGAAGGGAUGACACAGUAGGAUAAGCUAAGCACACUGUUGGUUAUGUGUGCCCAAGCAUUGAGGCAGUCAAAGUAGGCAAAUCCGCUUUGAUAAUGCUGGGAUGUGAUGGGGAGCGAAAUUUAGUAGCGAAGUAGCUGAUUUCACACUGUCAAGAAAAGUCUCUAUCGAGGUUAAAGGUACCCGUACCGCAAACCGACACAGGUGGGUGAGGAGAGUAUCCUAAGGCCAGCGAGAGAACUGUUGUUAAGGAACUCGGCAAAAUGACCCCGUAACUUAGGGAUAAGGGGUGCCACCAUCAGGUGGCCGCAGAGAAUAGGCCCAAGCGACUGUUUACCAAAAACAUAGGUUUCUGCUAAGUCGCAAGACGAUGUAUAGGAGCUGACGCCUGCCCGGUGCUGGAAGGUUAAGGGGAUCUGUUAGAGCAAUCGAAGCAGUGAACUUAAGCCCCAGUAAACGGCGGCCGUAACUAUAACGGUCCUAAGGUAGCGAAAUUCCUUGUCGGGUAAGUUCCGACCCGCACGAAAGGCGUAACGAUUUGGGCACUGUCUCAACAACAGACUCGGUGAAAUUGUAAUUCCGGUGAAGAUGCCGGAUACCUGCGACAGGACGGAAAGACCCCAUGGAGCUUUACUGUAGCUUGACAUUGGGUCUUGGUACUACAUGUACAGGAUAGGUGGGAGGCUUUGAAACCAGGACGCCAGUUUUGGCGGAGCCAUCCUUGGGAUACCACCCUUGUAGUACUGGGACUCUAACCAUAGGCCAUGAAUCUGGUCUUGGGACACUGUCAGGUGGGCAGUUUGACUGGGGCGGUCGCCUCCCAAAAGGUAACGGAGGCGCUCAAAGGUUCUCUCAGUACGGUCGGAAAUCGUACGUAGAGUGUAAAGGCAAAAGAGAGCUUGAUUGCAAGACAUACAGGUCGAGCAAGGAUGAAAAUCGGACUUAGUGAUCCGGUGGUUCUGCGUGGAAGGGCCAUCGCUCAACGGAUAAAAGCUACCCUGGGGAUAACAGGCUUAUCUCCCCCAAGAGUCCACAUCGACGGGGAGGUUUGGCACCUCGAUGUCGGCUCAUCACAUCCUGGGGCUGUAGUAGGUCCCAAGGGUUGGGCUGUUCGCCCAUUAAAGUGGUACGCGAGCUGGGUUCAGAACGUCGUGAGACAGUUCGGUCCCUAUCCGUCGCAGGCGUAGGAAAUUUGAGAAGACCUGUCCUUAGUACGAGAGGACCGGGAUGGACGUACCUCUGGUGUACCAGUUGUCCUGCCAAGGGCAUGGCUGGGUAGCUAUGUACGGAAUGGAUAAGCGCUGAAAGCAUCUAAGCGCGAAGCCAACUUCAAGAUAAGAUUUCCCACCGCAAGGGUAAGACCCCAGAAAGACUAUCUGGUUGAUAGGUCGAAGGUGUAAGUGCAGCAAUGUAUUUAGCUUAUCGAUACUAAUAGGUCGAGGACUUGACCAA